GCUAUAGAGACAGGAAGCGUUUAUUCUGCUCUAAAUCUGGGGUUCUUAAGAUGCCGGUCUAUGGAGAUCGUCCAUGGAGACUUGCUUUUGAGGCCUGCUUCAAGUGGUAAUUUGAGGAAGUGCAGUGUUUUGCACUUUCACUUUUUCAUCUGCUUGCAUCUGCCACUGUUAACAUGGAUGAGUACGCGUGCUCAGAAUCAUGGGAAGCCAACCGUUGACCCAUGACUACGUACAUGUUGGGAUGAAGACUGAAACGUGGUCAAUAGCAGAUCAGGAGAUGCAACCCAUCCACAGAAACUUGGGGAGGAAAAGACUUCAGGAAAGAUGCAAAGUCGGUAAUGUUGGCUUAUGAUGACAGCCAUAGUAAUGUGAUUAAUAUUAAUGAUAAUAUCUAUAGCAGCAACAGUUGUCAGCAGGGCCACGGCAGGAGGCGAGAACAGGGCCCGGAUAGAACCAUGAUCAGUGGAAACCUGUGAGACUGCUGGAUUGACUGUAACCGCGGGUAACCGUGACAUCUAGUGGCUCAAGUAGGAGGCAAACACCUGGAUGAGAAGCGCUUCCAUCCCCACGGCUACAAGGUAGUUUCAUAGUCUUCACUUCCACUGGGCUGACAGGCGGGUUGGAGAGAACACCACCAACCGCUGGUCUCACACGGACGGUGCAGGAGUAACAAUGCAGGGGCGGAGGGACAGGGACUCAGGUGCAGUGCAAUACGAGACUCCUCCAAGGACUGACGGUGUUAUUAAAUGGUGUCAACAGAAGAAGACAUCUAGAAGGUACUGGUCCUAAACGGUCCGACUAUGUUUGAGUUCAUGAGAGAGCUGAAGUUCCUCCUCUGCUCCACUCUGAUUGAAGACACUGGGGUUUCCCAUAAAGGAUUUCCUCAAAGCGCUGCCUUCACUGUUUAGAAUGUUAGCAUGCUAACAUCUGCUAAUGGGCACCAAACAACAGCAGAAGCCGGCGGCCAUGUCACUUGAUCAGCAGGUAUUUAGUCGUAAACAGAGUAUGCACAUUGUUGUAGUGUGGAUUCAAAGUUAACGAAUGCGACUGUAGUCUAACCCAAUUAAAGACAUUGGCCGGAUGCAACCCAGC
Molecule: long non-coding RNA, 1092 nt
Organism: Gasterosteus aculeatus aculeatus (three-spined stickleback)
Lineage: Eukaryota; Metazoa; Chordata; Actinopteri; Perciformes; Gasterosteidae
Source: Ensembl